RNAcentral lists this ribosomal RNA (225 nucleotides) under uncultured bacterium. Its description in RNAcentral is "partial 16S ribosomal RNA". It matches the Rfam family "Bacterial small subunit ribosomal RNA", at positions 109 to 334 of the family's 1533-position model. The record is from RNAcentral.
CGUAACACGUGAGCAACCUACCGAUUUGUGGGGGAUAGCCGGCCCAACGGCCGGGUAAUACCGCAUACGCUCUUUGGGCUUCAUGGCCUAUUGAGGAAACCUCCGGGGCAAAUCGAGGGGCUCGCGUCCUAUCAGCUAGUUGGCGAGGUCACGGCUCACCAAGGCGACGACGGGUAGCUGGUCUGAGAGGAUGGCCAGCCACAUUGGGACUGAGAUACGGCCCAG